Molecule: long non-coding RNA, 880 nt
Organism: Dermacentor silvarum
Lineage: Eukaryota; Metazoa; Arthropoda; Arachnida; Ixodida; Ixodidae
Exons: 3
Source: RefSeq, a predicted model, not a curated record
GCUUCGUUAUAAAAUGACAACACGGCGCAAUGCACAAAUUUAGCUCGGCAGCGCUGCCACUGUUAGCGUUAGACUGAUAGAUCAAGCGGGAGCUGUGUUUGAGGUCUGGCAACGAUCGCUCCCCAGCAGCUGAGCACAGCGCAUGGCUGAGAAACAAGAAAAUUUGCGCCCGCAUUUGUCUGCCGCUCAUUCUUUCCUUGUGCUUAAUUUGUGGUUCACGUUGCAGUUGUUAAUCGUAGUUAUCAUGGAUGAUAUUGUCCGUGUGUGUACUGUGACCGAGCCGGAUUGACUUCGAAGGAGGCAACGCAUGGAACGGCCGAUGGGCAGCUUUGUUUACCUUCAAGACCAAGUGCUGCUGAAAGCUUUCUGAAAGCAUCAACAGGACAAAAAGUAAGGGAUGUGGGCCUUGGAAGGACCAGCUGAUGGAAAAAAAUCAACGUCCGUGUUGCACGCAACGCCAUUGUGACUGUCUGCAUCUCCAUUUGGCCUGUUGUGGGAUCCCACAAGACACGCUUUGUUCCUGGGUCAAUUACUGAACUUCUGCAAGCCCCAUGGAAGCCAACUGUCAUCCGCAUCGAAUGGAACAAAUUCAUGGUUCCGGCCUUCAUAAUUCAUCUUGAGCUGAAGUUAGAACUGGAGCUCAAACAGCGUAAAUUCUGUAAGGAUUUACCACUGCAUACCGUCCGGUGGCCACACACGACGGUAUGCUACUGUCUAGAACACUGCUAGUCUACUGUCCAGAACACGGAUGGUGUUUUAUUCUAGAAUAGCUUUGUCAGUAGUACUACUGAUUGUGUUUGUAGGAUCACAGUCCACGCUCUUUUUGCAAUCCUAUCAGAACACAAAAAGACGAGGAUAAUUUUAAUUUAUUGUUUCAGAG